GGAAAGAUGUCCGAGUGGUUUAAGGUACACGCUUGGAAGGCGUGCAUAGGCGAAAGUCUAUCGGGGGUUCGAAUCCCCCUCUUUCCG
Molecule: transfer RNA, 87 nt
Filed under: Treponema sp.
Lineage: Bacteria; Pseudomonadati; Spirochaetota; Spirochaetia; Treponematales; Treponemataceae
Also listed under: 1 other name
Description: tRNA-Ser
Rfam family: tRNA
About the family: Transfer RNA (tRNA) molecules are approximately 80 nucleotides in length. Their secondary structure includes four short double-helical elements and three loops (D, anti-codon, and T loops).
Source: RNAcentral